GCUCCGGCGCGGUACAACGGCGAAACAGGAACCCCGCCAGGACGGGAACGUAGCAACGGUACUGUGUAGUCGUGUGUUGCCGUUCAACCGGGGCCCG
RNAcentral lists this signal recognition particle RNA (97 nucleotides) under Acidobacteriota bacterium. Its description in RNAcentral is "Acidobacteria bacterium (activated sludge metagenome) signal recognition particle sRNA small type". It matches the Rfam family "Bacterial small signal recognition particle RNA". From Rfam's summary of the family: The signal recognition particle (SRP) is a universally conserved ribonucleoprotein involved in the co-translational targeting of proteins to membranes. Archaeal SRP consists of a 7S RNA and homologues of the eukaryotic SRP19 and SRP54 proteins. In most bacteria, the SRP consists of a 4.5S RNA and the Ffh protein (a homologue of the eukaryotic SRP54 protein). RNAcentral also lists the same sequence under 1 other name. Lineage: Bacteria; Pseudomonadati; Acidobacteriota. The record is from RNAcentral.